RNAcentral lists this ribosomal RNA (327 nucleotides) under uncultured eukaryote. RNAcentral describes it as "partial 18S ribosomal RNA". It matches the Rfam family "Eukaryotic small subunit ribosomal RNA", at positions 1470 to 1796 of the family's 1831-position model. The record is from RNAcentral.
CCCUUAGAUGUCCUGGGCCGCACGCGCGUUACACUGAUGCAUUCAACGAGCUUAUAACCUUGGCCGAGAGGCCUGGGCAAUCUUGUUAACGUGCAUCGUGAUAGGGAUAGAUUAUUGAAAUUAUUAAUCUUGAACGAGGAAUUCCUAGUAAACGCAAAUCAUCAAUUUGCAUUGAUUACGUCCCUGCACUUUGUACACACCGCCCGUCGCACCUACCGAUUGAAUGGUCCGGUGAGGACUCGGGAUUUUUACCAGUUUCCUUCAUUGGGAAUUGGUGAGGAGAACUUGUCCAAACCUUAUCAUUUAGAGGAAGGUGAAGUCGUAACA